RNAcentral lists this long non-coding RNA (1263 nucleotides) under Anolis carolinensis (green anole). RNAcentral's name for it is "lncRNA (ENSACAG00000041804.1)". Lineage: Eukaryota; Metazoa; Chordata; Lepidosauria; Squamata; Anolidae. The record is from RNAcentral.
GCAACGGGCUGCUUCAGGCCUAGCCUCCCCCCUACACUAAGAAACCCUCAUUUCCGCAUCUGGUCGCCUAGCAACGAGUGGCUGCCUCAGGCCUAGCGCCUCUCCUUGCCAUUCAGAAGCAUGGCAAGCAUUGCAGAUUUGGCACCAACUUUAACUGCCAUGGCUUCUCGCUAUGGAAAACUGACAGGGAAGUGCCUGUAAAACUACAGCUCCCAGGCUUGCAUAGAAUUGCUGUCUAUGCGUAGCUCUGAGAAGUGCAUCACAAUGGCCACAAUGGGCAGGCUGGGCUCUCCAGGCCAAUGGAGACUCCACCAAAGACAACAGAAUUGCUGCAAGGAAAAGAACAACCCAGGAGAUGAAAGAUCCACCCAGAGGAAAAGGGUUCUUACCAUACAUCAAGGGAACCACCAACCACAUAGGGAAGCUGAUGAAGAAACACAACCUACAAAACUAUCUACAGACCUACUAAGAAAAUCCAACAAUUCUACCUAACUUGAUACCUCAGAGCCUUUGACUACCGCCAUCAUGACCCACGCGAAGUCUCGAAAUCUUAAAAAGAGUGUAUAUGCCAUGAAUGCUCCUGAUCCAUACAAAUAUGGUGGUCCCAACACGUUGCGUUCGCAUAGCCAUGUGAUGCCAAGGGUCCCCCCUUGCGUCGUGGGGAAAGCAGCUGGAAUUCAAGAAACAAGAUCAUCCACCAAAAUCGCAAGCAAUCUCAUAGCAGAAGGAAAGACACAUGCCAGCAAAUUUUUUCCGGCAUCCUUAGGUAACGAGAACUAUUCUUCGGGUAUGUUUAAAACUCUGCAAAAGGAAAAUCUACAACUAACAGAUUGCCUGAAGGAAAAGGAUUCAAUAAUAACCAAAUUGAUGAGAAUAAUUGAAGAACAGGCUACCAAGUAUAAUACAGCAAUUGCACUGGAAAAAGAGCAUCAGAAAGAGACUGAAAGACGACUGGAGGAAUCAGAGAAUUUAAUUAAGGAUCAGAUCCAGCUGCUUGAUGAAACGAUAAGACAUUAUACAAAAAUCAUUCAAGAACAAUACACUCAGCAUGCAGAGCUGGUGUCUGAAAUGAAAAAGCAGAAUGAGGCCGAUAUAAAGUGCAGGGAAGAAAAGAUUGCCAAGCUAAAGGAAUACAUUUCUGAGACCUUCCAAGAAAAAUCCCGUGAACAUCAACAACAGAUCGAUGAACUGAUGCGAGAAAUAAGUAAAUUCACUCAGAAAUCACAAAUUCUUAAAACUUGAAAAGGAACCACAUCAAAAAAG